RNAcentral lists this ribosomal RNA (440 nucleotides) under uncultured bacterium. Its description in RNAcentral is "partial 16S ribosomal RNA". It matches the Rfam family "Bacterial small subunit ribosomal RNA", at positions 338 to 795 of the family's 1533-position model. The record is from RNAcentral.
CCUACGGGAGGCAGCAGUGGGGGAUAUUGCACAAUGGGGGAAACCCUGAUGCAGCGACGCCGCGUGAGUGAAGAAGUAUUUCGGUAUGUAAAGCUCUAUCAGCAGGGAAGAAAAUGACAGUACCUGACCAAGACGCCCCGGCUAACUACGUGCCAGCAGCCGCGGUAAUACGUAGGGGGCAAGCGUUAUCCGGAUUUACUGGGUGUAAAGGGAGCGCAGACGGCUGUGCAAGUCUGGAGUGAAAGGCGGGGGCCCAACCCCCGGACUGCUCUGGAAACUGUAAAGCUGGAGUGCAGGAGAGGUAAGCGGAAUUCCUAGUGUAGCGGUGAAAUGCGUAGAUAUUAGGAGGAACACCAGUGGCGAAGGCGGCUUACUGGACUGCAACUGACGUUGAGGCUCGAAAGCGUGGGGAGCAAACAGGAUUAGAUACCCGGGUAGUC